GACGAACGCUGGCGGCGUGGAUUAGGCAUGCAAGUCGAACGGUAUCAUCCUUUCGGGGGUGAGAGAGUGGCGAACUGGUGAGUAACACGUAGGUUAUCUACCCUCAAGACGGGGACAACCCAGGGAAACUUGGGCUAAUACCGGAUGUGAGCAACUUUUUAGUUGUUUGAAAGGUGGCGUAAGCUGUCGCUUGGGGAUGAGCCUGCGUCCUAUUAGUUAGUUGGUGAGGUAACGGCUCACCUAGGCAAUGAUAGGUAGGCGGCCUUAACGGGUGUCGCCCACACUGGGAUUGAGAUACGGCCCAGACUCCUACGGGAGGCAGCAGUCGAGAAUAGUCUACAAUGGUCGGAAGACUGAUAGUGCGACGCCGCGUGAACGAUGAAUCCCUUCGGGGUGUAAAGUUCUUUUAUAUGUGAGCAGUGCUUCUUAUAUUAACAGUAUGGGGAGAGAGAUAUUAGCAUAUGAAUAAGCAACGGCUAACUCCGUGCCAGCAGCCGCGGUAAGCUCG
Molecule: ribosomal RNA, 508 nt
Filed under: uncultured bacterium
Lineage: Bacteria
Description: bacterial SSU rRNA
Rfam family: Bacterial small subunit ribosomal RNA
Source: RNAcentral